UACGGAAGGUCCGGGCGUUAUCCGGAUUUAUUGGGUUUAAAGGGAGCGUAGGCUGGGGUCUAAGCGUGUUGUGAAAUGUAGGCGCUCAACGUCUGAAUUGCAGCGCGAACUGGUCCCCUUGAGUUCGCUGGAAGUAGGCGGAAUUCGUGGUGUAGCGGUGAAAUGCUUAGAUAUCACGAAGAACUCCAAUUGCGAAGGCAGCCUGCUGUAGCGUUACUGACGCUGAAGCUCGAAAGCGCGGGUAUCGAACAGG
Molecule: ribosomal RNA, 253 nt
Filed under: uncultured bacterium
Lineage: Bacteria
Description: partial 16S ribosomal RNA
Rfam family: Bacterial small subunit ribosomal RNA
Source: RNAcentral